This 5156-nucleotide long non-coding RNA is filed under the name Sus scrofa (pig). RNAcentral's name for it is "lncRNA (ENSSSCG00035057384.1)". Lineage: Eukaryota; Metazoa; Chordata; Mammalia; Artiodactyla; Suidae. The record is from RNAcentral.
GGACUCAGAGGGGAAUGACAAGGAUUCAGUGUCUCUAGGGGAUCUAGGGAGGCUGGUCCUCUGCAUGGAUGCCACGGACUUCAGAAAAGACGCCUGCUCCAGCUUUGGAAUAAAUGUGACAUUGCUGACUUUUUCUAAAGAUCAUUUGUACCAGAUAUAUGGCCAUGACUCUACUGGCCUGAAGAUUUUUUCGAGCACCACCUGAGCCUCCCAGAUUGAUGAGGAUGCCUGGCUGGGGGCCUCUAUGAUGACAGACUGAAUUUUCCCCCAGCUUGGGGAUAUAGAGAGUGAGUCAUCUUUCACUCUAUGUAAAGAAAUUAAGAAGUGUGACAUUCUUCAUUUAACCAUUUCUUUUAAAUUUUUCUUUGAAAAUUUAAAUAUACACAGAGAGUCAAAAGGAAAAGCCCUCGUGACCCUUUAUCCAGCCUCAAAAAUUAUCAAUAUGUUGCCAAAUUCGUUCCAUCUCUACCUCUCACNCUCCAUUCUGUGCUGGUUGUUCAACAGCUUUAUUGAGGUAUAAGAUUCACAGAAUUAGGAGGUCCCUUCACGGCGCAGUGGAAACAAAUCCAAUUGGGAACCAUAAGGUUGUGGGUUUGAUCCCUGGCCUUGCUCAGUGGGUUAAGGAUCCUGCAUUGCCGUGGCUGUGGCUGUGGCCAGCAGCCCUAGCCUGGGAACCUCUAUAUGCUGCAGGUGUGGCCCUAAGAAGCAAAAAAAAAAAAAAAGAUUCACAGAAUUCACCUAUUUUACGAAUCAAAGAUUUUUAGUAUCUUUGCAAACAUCACCACAAUCUAGUCUUAAAUAAAGCAUUUUCAUCAUCCCAAGUCCCAUGGACUCUCUCCUCCCUACUCCCAUGCUUGUUUGUAGUCAAUUCCUAUUUCCAAUUUGAGCUCCAGGCAACCACUGAUCUGCUUUAUAUCUCUAUAGAUUUGCCUCUUCUGGAUAUUUCAUGUACAGAGAAUUAUACAACAUGUAAUCUUUUGUUUCUGGAUUCUUCCACUUACUGUAAUAUUUUUGAGGUUCUUUCAUGUUGGAGCAUGUAUAAGUCUUUCAGUUAUUUUUAUAACUGAAGAGUAUUUCGAUAGAUGGGUAGACCACAUUUUGUUUAUGCAUUCACAAAUUGAUGCUAUGAAUAUUCAUUUAAAAGUCUUUGUGUACAUAUUUUAACUUUUCUGGGGUAGAUUCUUCAGUGUGGAAUUGUGGGGUCACGUGGCAGUUUCUUAAGUAACUAAAAACCUGUGUCUCAAAGUGGUCGCAUCAGUUUACACUUCUUCCAGAAACAUGUCAAAGUUCCAGUUUCUCCACAUCCUCUCCAACACUUAUUAUCGUCUCCAUUUUAUUACAGCCAAUGGACUCCAUGGGAAGUGGUAUCUUAUUGUGGUUUUAAUUUACAUAUCCCCAAUGACCAGUAAUGUCAAGCAUCUUUUCAUGUACUCACUAGCCUUUUUCUCUGAUGAAAAGUCUAUUCAAGUACUGUGCCCACAUAUUAAGUUAACCGGCUUGUUUGUCUUAUUAUUGAGAGGCAAGAGGGUUUUUGUUGUUGUUGUUGUUGUUGUUUAAUGUUCUAGACAUAAAUCCUUUAUGAGAUACAUGAUUUGUGAAUUUUUUUCUCAGUCCAACCUGGGGCUUGUCCUUUCAGUUAAUGAAUGAUGUUUUUGAGUCCCUCUGACCCUGGGUGGUUAUAAUAUCUGUCCACUCAGGAUGUACAGACCUCCCUCAGCUACAUUUAGUUCAUUUGUCCAUCACAUAUGGUGGGGGAGCCACUUUCAACUGAAACUUUUCAAACUCUACAAAGCAUAAAGCUCUGCAUCUGGAGAAAAAACACGGUUGGUCCAGCUUCUAGCUGAGGGGUGGCCCAAUAGAGGGGCAGAGGAGGCUCCAGAAAGGACACCUGCUAUGACUUUGACAGUGACCCAUAGAGAAUUAACAUCUUCCAAUUCAGGAACAUGGAUUGUCUCUCCAUUUAUUUAGAACUUCUUUCAUUUUUGUCACCAUUGUUUUGCAUUUUUCAGUGUACAAAUCUUCUAAUUCUUUUGUUGAGUUUAUUCCUAAGUAUUUUAUGCUUUUUGGUGUUAUUCUGAAUGGAAUUCUUUUCUAAAUUUCAUUUUCAGAUAGCUUAUUGCCAGCAUGUAAAAUUACCAUUGAUUUUUGUAAAUCGAUCCUGUAUCCUGUGACCUUGAUGAAGUCAUUUAUUAUUUCUAGUCACUCUCUCUGGUGACUUCCUUUGGAUUUUCUACACACAAAUGUGACACUUCUUGCACGUUUGUCUUUGUGGGAUAAGAGUCACAGCAGCCCAAUUUUAAACUGAAUGAGUUAGAAUACACCCCAGAUUGUUCCUAUUAUAGUGCUGCAAAUGCCUAAAGAGCAGGGUAGGAGAGGCAUCCAGGUCAUGCUGGGAACCAUGCAGUAUUUGCAGCCUGUCUUACCUCUUGCAUAGCCAUUGGAGACAGCUUUUGGUUUGAGGGUUUUGUCAAAAUGCACCUUUUGCUAUAAGAAUGCGGGAGGGGAUUAUGGAGAAUUGUUGCCUUUGGAAGACUGCUUGGCCUGAGAUACAUUCUUAAGGAAGAUUCCCGGGAAAGAGAAGAGAUCUUCAGGAGGAGGAGAGGCAUGGGGGAAAAAAAAUGGAAGGUAAUAUACUUUCUUCACAUCGAAAUGUGUAAAGUGCAUGAAAGGUGUACAAGUGUAAGAAGAAGGUAUAUAUAAUGAUGCAAAAUCGGCAUUUGGAGCCCUGCACAGAGUGCACAAUUCAAAGAACUAGAUAAAGGUAGUGAAAAAAAGAGGAGGGUUUUUUUUGCAAUAGCUGGAUUGUUGCUAUAAAAGCUGCAAAAUCCUUACACUGUAAAAUAAUUAAAUCCCAACGUAACAUUGACUUUGUGUAAAACACUUAGCUCAGAGUUUGGUUAAGAGCAAAUGUUCAGUACCUGGUAGCUGUUUAUAUUAUGGCUAUUACUUUUGCAACUAAAAUUAGAAGCAUUCUGCAAUUCUCCACAGCCAGUAUUUAUAUGCCAAGGUCACCUUGCUCAAUUCGAUGGGCAUUUCGGGGACAGUAUCGUGGGACUCUGGGAGUGGAUUAAGGCUACUCAGGAUGGAGGCAGACUUCAGAGAAGGUGGCGAGGAAAAUGACAAAAACCAAAACUUUGUACUAACCAUGCAUAGUUUGUAUCAAGACCACAAAGUGUUUUCCCAGGUCCAUUACAGCAUUAUUUACAAUAGCUGAGAUGCAGAACCAACCAACCUAAGUGCCUAUCCACAGGUAAAUGGAUAAAGAAGAUAUGAUUUCUCUCUCUCCCUCCCUCUCUCUCUCUCCAGAUAUAAAUAUAUAAAUAUAUAUACACAUAAUAAUAUUCAGCCAUGAGAAAGAAGGAAAAUACUUCCAUUUGUAACAACGUGGUUGGACAGAGGGCAUUAUUCUAAGUGAAAUAAGUCAGAGAAAAACAAAUACGAUAUGACAUCACUUCUAUAUGGAAUCUAAAAAAGCCAAACUCAUAGAAACAGAGAGGAGAGCCCCUGUGAUUACCAGGGGCUGGGGGCUGGGGGAAAUUGGGAAGAUGUUGGUCAAAGGGUAUAAACUUCCAAUUAAAAGGACAAGUAAGUUCUGGGGGCCUAAUGUACAGCAUGGUGAGUAUAGUUAAUCAUACGGUAUCAUAUACUGAAAAGGUGUUAAGCAUGUAGAUCUUAAAUGUUCUCACCACAAAAACGAAAUGGUAAUUGUGUGAUGUGAUGAAGGUGUUAGCUAACACUACAGUGGCAAUCGUUUUGCAAUAGAUCAGUGUAUCAGAUCAACAUGUUAUAAGCCUUAAACUUACACAAUGUUAUAACACCCUAUCAAUUAUAUGUCAAUAGAGCUGGGGGUGAAAAAAAAAAAAAGACUACAAAGUGCCUGUGAAGAGACUAAUGAAUAAACCUGAAAAGCAUGCAUCCGUACGUGUGUGUUUAUAUUCAGAAAAUCUAUUUCGAGCUUAUCCGUAAUCAUAUUUAAUUGCAUCUUUAAUUUCUAAAUUGCCAGAUUAAGAAACAAGCUCCCUUCUCAUUGUAUUUGAGAAUUUAACAUAGCAAGCGCUUGUCAGAAAGGAGGCCAUUGUGUGGCUGGGCAUGCCACCUGGAGGGGCAGUUUCAGACAGAGCCCUCCCCAUCUCCUUCCCAGCCCUCCCUCCCCUGCCCUCCCCUUCUCACCCCUGCUCUAGUUAAAGGCUGAUUCAUCUGACCUGGAGGCGAUGGUAUCACUGAUUUAGGUAGCAAGGAUCUUUGGGCUACAUUUAGUUCAUCUGGUCACAGAAUACAGCCCAGGGACCGAGAUCUAGUUGAUGGGAAGGCUUUCCAAUCCUAUACAUCACAAGGCUCUACAUCUGGAGAAACCGCCUCUGUCAUGCCAGCUUCUGUGUUCCACGGAACCAAAAGUCAAAGCUUGUCCGAUAGGAUGACCCAGGGUGGGGCCCCAGAAGUGGCCUGAAUGCGGUCAGGUAGCAAGGACACUCCAUGGCCAGCAGCUUCAGGAGAAGAGGCGGUGGUGCUGCGGCUCCCGGGUAAUGAGGCAUUCUCUGCCCGGCUCAGUCUCCCUGCUCAUGGGCAGGUAGACAAUCCUGCAGCCAGAGAGAGAGUCCCAGGUUGCAGGCACAUUGAAUUCACCUCUGUGUGAGGCUUAGCCAGGAGGGGUAACCUUAGGGAACCCAGCACCAAAUGAAUGAACAUUCUAGAUUCAACUUCGCCAUGUGGGAUGUGAAGCCAUUUCACUUCUCCGAGCCCCCAUUUCUGCUUCUAUGUAUCAGAAUUGUAAUAAUUCUCACUGGCAGGGUGGCAUCAAGGAUAGAGAAAGAAUGCACUCUGGAAUUUUCUCUAUGGGGUCCAAAGCACCACACAAAAGGGAACCAAAAAAGCAACAAGCUGCCUCCAGGAUGCUACAUCUAAAUGUGGCCCAGCUAUUCAUACGUAAAGCAGGGCCAAUUUUCUCACCGAUAGUCUACUACUAACAAAGGUAAUUUAAAGGUUAAGAAGGUACAGUAUGAUUUUCAUAGAAUUCUAUAACAUUAUUUUCAUUUGAAUGCAACGAGCAUGGUCAUAAUUCUUCUUUCUUUUCUGAAUGGGUCCCUGCACAAAAAUACAUUGUUUAUCAUGGCUCUAAUUGGCUCCCUUGUUUCAGGCUGACACUCUCUCAGAUUCAU